AUGUGUGAGCACCCAGCUCACUCUCGUUUCUCCCUCUGCAGAGGGUGGUCCCUGGCAGCAUGAGUGGGAGAAGGGGCAGCAGAGACUGUGGACCCCUCAGCUGCACCUAAGACCUCUGUGUGGUCUAGCUGUGUGUGCUGGGGGAGGCUUUUGGCCACCAUUUCCCCCUCUGUAAAUGAGACCGAUACCUGUGUGAGUGCCAAGGCCGGUGUGAGUGCCAAGCACUAGGAGAAGGACCCUGAGUGAGCAUGGACGUGGGAGCAGGGGUGUUCCUCGACUUUAUACACCUUGGGGGUGGGAGUGGGGCUCCCUGCAUGGGUUGACAAGGCAUUGCUUUUCCCCACCCCACCUCUGUCCCAGCCCUGCAAGUCCAAUCCUUGGGGGUCUAGGAGGGAAGAAGCCCCUGGCUGUGUGACCUUAGGCUGGUGCCUGGCCCUCUCUGGCUCUGAGUUUCUGGGAAAGUCAGCACCCAAGGAACGCCCUCCAGUUUAGCACCUUGACAAGAAAGGUGGGGACACUGGGAUCAGGUCCACCCCUCUGGUCCCAAACCUCUUGGCCCCAGCUGGAGGAUGAGGAGAUGCUGGGCUUGGGUGGGGGAAUCAGGGGUGUAAAGGGGCCUGCUCACCCCUCAGCUUGGCUCAAAGGCUCAAGGCAUCAAAGGCUCAGCCUGCCCCUCAGGAAGCAGCCCGGGCCCAGCGAGACACUCACCAGGACAAGGGCAACUGUGAUGAGCAGGAGGCCCAGGAUAAGGAGAGCCACGGCAUAGCUGGAGGUGAAGGUGUCCAGGGGGCUGGAGGCUUUGGGGCUAGGAGAGCCUAGAGCAGAGCAAGAAGGCUAUGACCAGGCAAGGCGCUGCCUCGGACUUCUCAGAAGGCAGAAUCUGCACCCAGAAGGUGCUGCGGGAACAGAGAGCUGGGGCUGGAAGCACCUUGGAGGGCUCCACGAGGAGGGAAGGCAGGCUUCAGAUCAGGGCAUGCGGAGGCAGCAAGUCCAAGGGAGGAGGCAGAUGGACAGAGGGAGGGGGCCUGCAGAGGGGAAGAGGUACUGACCGAGGUCUAGGAUGACCGUGUCUACCAAGAGGCCCUCUGCCUCCCCCACGGUGUGCAGACCCUGUCACACACAGUCUCACACGAGGGCCUGGGCUGGCGCUGCCCUGAAGAAGGUGGCAACCAAUCUGGUGGUCAGUGGGUCCGGCCUAGUGGGACGAUCAUGACAGACUUCAGGGGCCUGGGCAGCCUUAGAGGACUAGGGUAGGUCAUCUCUUCCAGCCUCGUGCCCUCAACCCCAGAACCCUGGUCUGAGUCCUGGGUCACCCAGGACCACCCUGGACCCACUGGAAUUCGUCCAGCACCACUUGGUCAAAGUUCUGCAGAGAUCUGAGGACAAGGGUCAGCUGGGGGUCAGGAGAGGAUGAAGAGGGUCACAGCUCUACCAGACGAAGCCUCAUUCCUUGUGGCGCCCGGCCCACCCCUCUGAUGUGGGCCCUAAACCUCCGGCUGGCCCAGCCCUGCAGAGAACUGAGUCCCAGAGGAGGUGCAGGUGGAGUCAUUGAAGCAACACUGCAGCUGGACCUGGGUCUGAGUCCCUGCUCCUGGCUGUGAGAUGCGCCUCUCCCUCUGUUUAUUCAUCUGAAGGAUAGGGCUGUGCUGUUCUGGGUUUGCUGUGACAAUUGAACUGGCCUCUGUGAGUUGGUGGUGGCCUCCUGAGAUGGCUUGAGAAGUACAGAGGAACCUGGUGCCAGCCUCAGUCAACCCCGAUGUGAUGAUCUUUCUACCCAUCCUCUUUGAUGUCUUGAUUCUGGCUGAUGUCCUUGGCCAGACCUGCAAGUCCAAUCCUUGGGGGUCUAGGAGGGAAGAAGCCCCUGGCUGUGAGGCCUCGGGCUGGACCCUGGCCCUCUCUGGCUCUGAGUUCCUGGGAAAGUCGGUGGUGUUGGAACUCCGGAUUCAUUCCUCAGCGUUGAGGCACUGUCUGUGGAAGCUGUGGGACAAGGUGAAGGUGGGGAGAGGAGAGGCUUGGAGUUUGGGUUUCAGCAGAGGGAUCAGCAGAGUGAGGGGUCGCCUGUGUGUAGAGGAAAGGGAGUGAAGGCCAGGAGUGAGGAAUGAGUCUGAGUGCACCCAGGAUGGUGCUGGAUCUCCUCCCACAUCCACCUGGCCCUGGUCAGGGGAGAAGAAAGACCACAAGACAAAGGGGAAACUGAGUUGGGUUCACACAUGUCCUUCCAGGACCUGGAGGUGCCACUGUCUGGCCAUUAUGCAGUGAGAAGUGGGAGAAGGAAGAUUCCCUCCCCAUACCUCGUGUUCUCUGUCCCAGGUCUCCUGGCCCCCUGUGCACCUAAGUUCAGUCUCUGUCGGCCCCCAGCAUCAUUUCUAGGGUUGGUGGGAGGCAGCUGGGAACAGGCUAGGGGUAGGUGGAGCCUGCUUGGGGGAGUCUGCUUGACUGCUUGGGCCACUGCCCAUGGUAGUGGGGAGCUUUUCUGGCACACUGACUGCACCACCCAGGCGCUGCCAAUGACAGCCCCCAGGGAGUGUUUGCAGAAGGCCUUGGCAGUGGAGGUGGCGGACUCCACCAAGAACAAACACCUGGGGUGGGGUCAGGGAGAACCACCCUCCACUUACCUGUCUGGAGUGUCCUCUGUACCGCACUGUGCGAGUCUACACUCCCAGGCUGAACACCCUGAGGGAGGCCCUCCACUUUAGCACCUUGACAAGAAGGGCAGGGACACCGAGAUCAGGCCCAGCCCCCUACCCCCAAAUCCUGCAACCCCAGCUGGGGGCUGAGGAGAUGCUGUGCUUGGGUGGGGGAAACAGGGGUGUAAAGGGGCCUGCUCACCCCUCAGCUUGGCUCAAAGGCUCAAGGCGUCAAAGGCUCAGCCUGCCCCUCAAGAAGGAGCCCGAGCCCAGCCAGAUACUUACCAGGACAAGGGUGAAUGUGAUGAGCAGAAGGCCCAGAAUGAAGAGAGCCUUGGCAUAGCUGGGGAUGGAGGUGUCCAGAGGGCUGGAGGCUUUGGGGCUAGGAGUGCCUAGAGCAGAACAAGAAAGCCAUGGCCAGGCAGGGCCCUGGAUCCCAUACUUCUGAGGAGGCAGAAUCUGGGCCCAGAAAGUUAUAUGUCAUGGACCAACCUCAAAAACAUUAGCUAAGUAAAAAAGCCAGACAUGAGACCACAUAUUGCAUAACUCAAUUGAUUUGAAAUGUCCAAAAAAGGCAAACUGAUAGAGACUGAAAUGGGCUGAUUUACGUCAAGAGGCAGCGACUCAAGCUCUCUAGACUACAGGUAAUAUAUCUAUGAGAAAAAAUAAGGAAAAGAAAAGAAACUUAAAUAUAAAUAAAUGAAAAUAAUACUUCUCCCUGAUUAUAAAGAAAAUCACAUUAUUUUUAUAAUAAUUCAGAAGACAAAAUAUGAAGAAAAGUCUUUAAUUUUGCCAU
Molecule: non-coding RNA, 3423 nt
Organism: Macaca mulatta (Rhesus monkey)
Lineage: Eukaryota; Metazoa; Chordata; Mammalia; Primates; Cercopithecidae
Source: RefSeq, a predicted model, not a curated record